UAGGGAAUCUUGCGCAAUGGGGGCAACCCUGACGCAGCGAUACCGUGUGAGGGAGGAAGGUCUUCGGAUUGUAAACCUCUGUCAAAAGGGAAAAACGGCGUAGCGGUUAAUAACCGUUACGAUUGAUGGUACCUUUAAAGGAAGCACCGGCUAACUCCGUGCCAGCAGCCGCGGUAAUACGGAGGGUGCGAGCGUUGUUCGGAUUUAUUGGGCGUAAAGCGCGCGCAGGCGGAAAGCUAAGGCAGAUGUGAAAUCGUGGGGCCGAACUCCGAAAGUGCUUCUGAA
RNAcentral lists this ribosomal RNA (285 nucleotides) under uncultured prokaryote. Its description in RNAcentral is "partial 16S ribosomal RNA". It matches the Rfam family "Bacterial small subunit ribosomal RNA", at positions 355 to 631 of the family's 1533-position model. The record is from RNAcentral.